RNAcentral lists this long non-coding RNA (313 nucleotides) under Homo sapiens (human). Its description in RNAcentral is "non-protein coding lnc-IGFBP7-5:1". The record is from RNAcentral. Lineage: Eukaryota; Metazoa; Chordata; Mammalia; Primates; Hominidae.
CUCAGCCCGGUUCCAAACCCUUGCUGGAGAGGUGAUACAGUCAUUUGGAGGAAAGAGGUAUCACCAGUGAAGCCUGCGAAGCAGCAAAGAUGGCAGUCUGCCCCGUCUUCUAGGAGCUCUGUCACAGGGAGACAAGCCGUGCUGUGCUGGCGGACCACUUCAGCUCAUGGUCACCUCAGACACUCUGAAGCCUGAAGGCUGGAACAACUAAAUUGCCCAAACAGCAAAUAUGACAGCAUCUACAGAAAUCAUUUUAUUUGAGUUAUGUAGCAAGAACCCAACUUAAGCAAAUAUAAAAUUUACAACUAAGUCA